AACGAACGCUGGCGGCAGGCCUAACACAUGCAAGUCGAGCGAGGACUUCGGUCCUAGCGGCGGACGGGUGUGUAACGCGUGGGAACGUGCCCUUUGCUUCGGAAUAGUACUGGGAAACUGGGAGUAAUACCGGAUGAGCCCUGUGGGGGCAAGAUUUAUCGGCGGAGGAUAGGCCCGCGUUGUUUUAGGUAGUUGGGGGGGUAUUGGCCUACCAAGCCGACGAUACUUAGCUGGGUUGAGAGGAUGAGCAGCCACACUGGGACUGAGACACGGCCCAGACACCUACGGGAGGGAGCAGUAGGGAAUCCUAGACAAUGGGGGAAACCCUAAUCGAGCCAUGGCGCGUGAGCGAUGAAGGCCUUAGGAGUGUAAAGCUCUUUCAGCUGGGAAGAUAAUGACGGUACCAGCAGAAGAAGCCCCGGCUAACUCCGGGC
Molecule: ribosomal RNA, 434 nt
Filed under: uncultured bacterium
Lineage: Bacteria
Description: partial 16S ribosomal RNA
Rfam family: Bacterial small subunit ribosomal RNA
Source: RNAcentral